RNAcentral lists this ribosomal RNA (253 nucleotides) under uncultured bacterium. Its description in RNAcentral is "partial 16S ribosomal RNA". It matches the Rfam family "Bacterial small subunit ribosomal RNA", at positions 524 to 776 of the family's 1533-position model. The record is from RNAcentral.
UACGUAGGGCGCAAGCGUUGUCCGGAAUUAUUGGGCGUAAAGAGCUCGUAGGCGGUCUGUCGCGUCUGCCGUGAAAACCCGAGGCUUAACCUCGGGCUGGCGGUGGAUACGGGCAGACUAGAGUGCGGUAGGGGAGACUGGAAUUCCUGGUGUAGCGGUGAAAUGCGCAGAUAUCAGGAGGAACACCGGUGGCGAAGGCGGGUCUCUGGGCCGUAACUGACGCUGAGGAGCGAAAGCGUGGGGAGCGAACAGG